RNAcentral lists this ribosomal RNA (397 nucleotides) under uncultured bacterium. RNAcentral's name for it is "bacterial SSU rRNA". It matches the Rfam family "Bacterial small subunit ribosomal RNA", at positions 362 to 774 of the family's 1533-position model. The record is from RNAcentral.
UAUUGCACAAUGGGGGAAACCCUGAUGCAGCGACGCCGCGUGAGUGAAGAAGUAUUUCGGUAUGUAAAGCUCUAUCAGCAGGGAAGAAGAAAUGACGGUACCUGACUAAGAAGCCCCGGCUAACUACGUCCCAGCAGCCGCGGUAACACGUAGGGGGCAAGCGUUACCCGGAUUUACUGGGUGUAAAGGGCGCGUAGACGGUAAGGCAAGUCAGAUGUGAAAGCCCGGGGCUCAACCGCGGGACUGCAUUGGAAACUGUCCUACUGGAGUGCAGGAGAGGUAAGUGGAAUUCCUAGUGUAGCGGUGAAAUGCGUAGAUAUUAGGAGGAACACCAGUGGCGAAGGCGGCUUACUGGACUGUAACUGACGUUGAGGCUCGAAAGCGUGGGGAGCAAACA